AUACGGAAGGUCCGGGCGUUAUCCGGAUUUAUUGGGUUUAAAGGGAGCGUAGGCCGUCUUAUAAGCGUGUUGUGAAAUGUCGGGGCUCAACCUGGGCAUUGCAGCGCGAACUGUGAGACUUGAGUGCGCAGGAAGUAGGCGGAAUUCGUCGUGUAGCGGUGAAAUGCUUAGAUAUGACGAAGAACUCCGAUUGCGAAGGCAGCCUGCUGUAGCGCAACCGACGCUGAAGCUCGAAAGCGUGGGUAUCGAACAGGAUUAGAUACCCUGGUAGUCCACGCGGUAAACGAUGGAUGCUCGCUGUUUGCGUCUGACGUAAGCGGCCAAGCGAAAGCGUUAAGCAUCCCACCUGGGGAGUACGCCGGCAACGGUGAAACUCAAAGGAAUUGACGGGGCCCGCACAAGCGGAGGAACAUGUGGUUUAAUUCGAUGAUACGCGAGGAACCUUACCCGGGCUUGAACUGCAGGCGAACGAUUCAGAGAUGAUGAGGCCCUUCGGGGCGCCUGUGG
Molecule: ribosomal RNA, 507 nt
Filed under: uncultured Prevotella sp.
Lineage: Bacteria; Pseudomonadati; Bacteroidota; Bacteroidia; Bacteroidales; Prevotellaceae
Description: bacterial SSU rRNA
Rfam family: Bacterial small subunit ribosomal RNA
Source: RNAcentral